UACGUAGGGGGCAAGCGUUGUCCGGAAUCAUUGGGCGUAAAGAGCGCGUAGGCGGUCCGGUAAGUCCGCUCUGAAAGCCCGGGGCUCAACCCCGGGAGGCGGGCGGAUACUGUCGGGCUAGAGUCCGGAAGAGGCGAGUGGAAUUCCCAGUGUAGCGGUGAAAUGCGUAGAUAUUGGGAGGAACACCAGUGGCGAAGGCGGCUCGCUGGACCGGUUCUGACGCUGAGGCGCGAAAGCGUGGGGAGCAAACGGG
This 253-nucleotide ribosomal RNA is filed under the name uncultured bacterium. RNAcentral describes it as "partial 16S ribosomal RNA". It matches the Rfam family "Bacterial small subunit ribosomal RNA", at positions 524 to 776 of the family's 1533-position model. The record is from RNAcentral.